Molecule: long non-coding RNA, 400 nt
Organism: Gambusia affinis (western mosquitofish)
Lineage: Eukaryota; Metazoa; Chordata; Actinopteri; Cyprinodontiformes; Poeciliidae
Exons: 3
Source: RefSeq, a predicted model, not a curated record
CAAAAGCAUUCCUAGGCCAGCCAAUAAACAUCGACCCUCCAGCAUAACCUGGGUCUUCCUCUGGGUCUCCACCCUUUGGGAUAUGAGUGGAACACCUCACCAGGGAGACGUCAGGGAGGUAUCCUAACCAGGUUUAGUCCAUUUGAUAAUUGAUGGAGGAACACUGUCAACACUGCAGGGUUGGGUGACGAGGGAAGCAGCCUAACUAAGAAGUCUAGGAGAGGGAGACAGUCAAAGUCUCUCUCUCCCCAGUCACUUGGGCCAGAUUUUCAAAAACAAUCCCAGGCCAGCCAAUAAACAUCAACCCUCCAGCAUAACCUGGGUCUUCCUCUGGUUCUCCGCCCUUUGGGAUAUGAGUGGAACACCUCACCAGGGAGACGUCAGGGAGGUAUCCUAACCA